GCCAGAGUGGUGUAGUGGUUUGAGUGUUGGACUACGACUCUGGAGACCAGGGUUCGAUUCCCAGCUCAGCCA
Phrynosoma platyrhinos (Desert horned lizard) is the source of this 72-nucleotide non-coding RNA. The record is from the annotation of a GenBank genome assembly. Lineage: Eukaryota; Metazoa; Chordata; Lepidosauria; Squamata; Phrynosomatidae.